UACAAAUUGGUCAUACAUACAAGUUCCGUAGUUUAAUCUCUGUUGGAUUUUAUUGAUAUUUAAAUUUUGCGACGAUUAUAUCUAGAUCGUAAAAUCUCUUAGUUAUAGAUAUAAACGACAUUAUUAUUAAGUGGUCGAAUCUAUCUUGUAAUGUAUAAGCGUAAUUUAAUAUAAGUCUCUUUUUUUUUUUUUUUUUUUUUUUAUAAUAAUGAACUUAUAUUAAUCCAUUUAUAUCUUUUAAUUUCAAUUUCACACUUAUCUCACAACUACAUAUGCAUAUUUACGUACUUCGAUCAAUGCGGAAGAAGUCUCGUGGUACUAGAUAUGAACCGUGCGAGAGGUUGAUUUAUACUGAUAUAUAAAUAUACAUAUCUCGUAUAAGUUAACAAUCACUUAUCUCAGGAGUUCGCCUUGCAGAAUUUUAAUAACGAAAUGAUAUGGAUAGUUUCAAUACCGGUUCUAAUGACUAUUAGAACAGUACGAGAUACAGUAGUCCUCAUACGCGUAAGGAUUAAUUAUGCUUUCGGCAUUGCGUUUCGCUCUGGCAACCGAGAGCUCGAAUAAUGUCGAGUGGAAAACGAUCGUGAUGGCAGAAGUGAGAAAAGCAGGAUAGUCCGUUGACUCGCCAUAGGCGCCAUACUUCCCGUUCCCGAGUUCUUAUUUAUUCCCGUCUAAAAUCUCAUUUUCCUUGAAAUAUCGAGCUAUACCCAGCGGAACGUGCAUUCGCAGUAUGAUUUUUCAUUAAAGUGUCUCGGCCAACUGAGAUAUGGCCGGGACAUUGAAUGUAGCUACUCCAACGAGUUGGAGAAGAACGGUCGUAUGGGAAAUUCUCGAGAUAAAAUGUGUAAGAGAAAAAGAAAAAGAAUAAAAGAAUAAAAGAAAGAGAGAAUGAAGUAAGAGAGAAAAAGAGAUAAUAGGGA
Vespa mandarinia (Asian giant hornet) is the source of this 920-nucleotide long non-coding RNA. NCBI's taxonomy places the organism in Eukaryota, Metazoa, Arthropoda, Insecta, Hymenoptera, Vespidae. The record is from RefSeq and is a predicted model, not a curated record.